ACCGUGCAAAGGUAGCAUAAUCAUUUGCCUAUUAAUUGUAGGCUAGUAUGAAUGGACAAACGCGGAUCUAUCUGUCUCCUUUAAGUCAAUAAAAAUUUAUCUCUAAGUGAAGAAGCUUAGAUAAAAUCGUAGGACAAGAAGACCCUAUAGAGCUUUACCUUAAAGCUUAAAAAAAAAGAAAGACGGUUCGGUUGGGGCGACCAAGGAAUAUAAAACAUCCUAUACAUACUUAGAUUCACAUAUCUUCAAAAAGAUCCUUAAACAAGAUCACAGAAUCCAGCUACCUUAGGGAUAACAGGCUAAUUCCUCUAGAGAGUUCAUAUUGACAGAGGAGG
This 335-nucleotide ribosomal RNA is filed under the name Limnodrilus udekemianus. RNAcentral describes it as "partial 16S ribosomal RNA". It matches the Rfam family "Bacterial large subunit ribosomal RNA", at positions 1945 to 2517 of the family's 2925-position model. Lineage: Eukaryota; Metazoa; Annelida; Clitellata; Tubificida; Naididae. The record is from RNAcentral.